AUUGAACGCUGGCGGCAUGCCUAACACAUGCAAGUCGCACGCGAAAGGGGGCAACCCUGAGUAGAGUGGCGGACGGGUGAGUAACGCGUAGGAAUCUACCUGGUAGUGGGGGACAACCCGGUGAAAACCGGGCUAAUACCGCAUACGAUCCACGGAUGAAAGCAGGGGACCGCAACGCCUUGCGCUAUCGGAUGAGCCUGCGUCGGCUUAGCUAGUUGGUGGGGUAAAGGCCCACCAAGGCGACGAUCCGUAGCUGGUUUGAGAGAACGACCAGCCACACUGGGACUGAGACACGGCCCAGACUCCUACGGGAGGCAGCAGUGGGGAAUAUUGGACAAUGGGGGCAACCCUGAUCCAGCAAUGCCGCGUGUGUGAAGAAGGCCUUCGGGUUGUAAAGCACUUUCGGUGGGGACAAACAAGGUGGAGCUAACAUCUCCGCCUCUGAUGGUACCCAAAGAAGAAGCACCGGCUAACUCUGUGCCAGCCGCCGCCGUAA
RNAcentral lists this ribosomal RNA (496 nucleotides) under uncultured bacterium. Its description in RNAcentral is "partial 16S ribosomal RNA". It matches the Rfam family "Bacterial small subunit ribosomal RNA", at positions 29 to 523 of the family's 1533-position model. The record is from RNAcentral.